GGGGAAGUAGUAGGGUUAAUUCAUGAAUUAACCCUACCUUUGAUAAGGGGGUGUCGAUCCCCCCUUCCCCCC
RNAcentral lists this transfer RNA (72 nucleotides) under Microcystis aeruginosa NIES-2521. RNAcentral describes it as "tRNA-Val". RNAcentral also lists the same sequence under 1 other name. Lineage: Bacteria; Bacillati; Cyanobacteriota; Cyanophyceae; Chroococcales; Microcystaceae. The record is from RNAcentral.